Molecule: ribosomal RNA, 253 nt
Filed under: uncultured bacterium
Lineage: Bacteria
Description: partial 16S ribosomal RNA
Rfam family: Bacterial small subunit ribosomal RNA
Source: RNAcentral
UACGGAGGGUGCAAGCGUUGCUCGGAAUUAUUGGGCGUAAAGGGUAGGUAGGUGGUCUUAUUUGUCUGAGGUGAAAGCCUUGAGCUUAACUCAAGAAGUGCCUCAGAAACGGUAAGACUAGAGUCCUGGAGAGGGUCGUGGAAUUCCCGGUGUAGCGGUGAAAUGCGUAGAUAUCAGGAGGAACACCUGCGGUGUAGACGGCUUACUGGACCAUAACUGACGCUGAGGCACGAAAGCGUGGGUAGCAAACAGG